CGGCGGGCGGGUGAGUAACGCGUGGGUAACCUGCCUCAUACAGGGGGGUAACAGUUGGAAACGGCUGCUAAUACCGCAUAAGCGCACAGUACCGCAUGGUACGGUGUGAAAAACUCCGGUGGUAUGAGAUGGACCCGCGUCUGAUUAGGUAGUUGGUGGGGUAACGGCCUACCAAGCCGACGAUCAGUAGCCGACCUGAGAGGGUGACCGGCCACAUUGGGACUGAGACACGGCCAA
RNAcentral lists this ribosomal RNA (237 nucleotides) under uncultured bacterium. RNAcentral's name for it is "partial 16S ribosomal RNA". It matches the Rfam family "Bacterial small subunit ribosomal RNA", at positions 96 to 333 of the family's 1533-position model. The record is from RNAcentral.